CUGACGUCUCUGCUCUUUCCUUCCAGCCUGCCCAUGUUUGCUGAGGAACGUGUGUGACCGGUAACCAAGAAGGGACAGUGACCCCCUAUGGCAAGGAUGGAACCCAGGCUGCUCUACCAUCGAGCCCCAGCCUUGUUAUCCCUGGAGACACGGUCACCACGUGGCUGAGGCUGGCUUUGAACUUGCAUCCUCCUGCCUCCCUCCCGAGGUGCUGGAUCCCAGGCGUGCGCACCACGCAGGCCGGGCGUCCCAGUUUUUGACCGAGUCUGUCUCGUCUGGUGCUGUCUUUGGGUCCCCAGCUGCAGGGCAUGGGUUCCUUCUAGGCAGCAAGGUUUUGUUUCGUCGUCGUGGGACAGUUGUGGUAAGUUAUCACGAAACGCCUCUAAAGGGCCUGGGCCUGGAGUUGUUUUGUACCAGGGACUGAACUCGGGCCCUUAACCACGGAGCCACGUCCCCAGGCCUUUUUGAGGCAGGGUCUUGCUAAGUUGCUGAGGCUUGAAAUUCCCAUCCUCCUGCCUCGGCCUCCAGCACCGCUGAUCACAGGACUCCACACCCCACUUGAUUCCUGGACUUAUGUGGGAGUGAGAUUCACAGGAACUGGCUUUGUAGGACAGAGGUCAUGGGCAUCUGUCGUCCAGCUCCAUAACUACAGAACGGUGUCAGAACCCAGAGGGUGACGUUGGUAGGAUCCCUGUGUGUGGAGUCCUGUGACAUUUAGAUGACUGUGGCCACCACGGGGAUCAAGAUCGUUCCUCCUGCACUACAGGGUCCUCCCUCCUCACCACCCUGACCUCUGCACCCAGUCUGUCGUUGAAGAAUCUCACAUCAUCGGUGGCGUGUGGCCUUUGAGAUUGGCUAGUGUCACUCGACAUCACACUUGUACGUGGCUUGUGUGACACUCUGCACCUUUUUAUGGCUGUGGUGGGGGGCCCCGGGGUUGUCGAGACCUAGGACAGACGCUGCUGCUGCUGCUGCGUGGUCACGAGCAGGGUUGGGGCGACGUCCACCUCGACAUCUGGGAGGUCGACGUUCAUGAGUCGCUAACACUAGCCACCUCUCCCUUGCUGGGACCACAUACCCAAGAAACAGGACUUGGAAGAUCUGGUCUGGGGUCCGAGGUCUCCUUCCUGGUCCCUUGGCCCGGGCGGCAGUGGCGGGGCAGAGGGAGCCGCUCAGCCCUCGGUGGUCAGGACGAGGUGCCGCAUCCCAGGAUGUCCCCCAGGUCCCUGCUUCCUCCAGCCAGACCCCAGCUCCCCACCCUGCCCUCAGCUGAAUCCAUCGACAGACCGUCCACUGCUGAGGUCAGAGCCCUGGUGAGCCCCGCCUCGGCACGCUGCUGCCUUGGGGACCUGAGCCUCUGGGGACCUCCUUAUCCAGAUCUAGGUGCUUUCUGUGUCAAGAAUAGCGCAUCGAGAACCUGCCAGGCCAGCUUGUAAUCCGACGUGCUCUGAGGAGGCCGAGGCAGGAGGAGCGCAAGUUCAAGGCCAGCCUUGGCAAUUUCAUGAGACCUGGCCUCAAAGUGAAUCACAAAGAACUGGGGACAUGGCUCGGUGCUAGGCAGCCCUGGGUGAUCCACAGUGGCUAAGCAUUUCACCUUCCCCCCAGCAAUGUCCUCCUGGCCAACACUCGGGAGCGUGACUACUUGUCAUUUCAAGGGUUCUAAUGGGGUGCACUGUCCCCGUGCUUCCCUAAGGCAGUGGGACAGGUUUUCUCACACCUGGAUCCCCCUGGGUUUGGCCCGUCUUCCCCAAGUUCCCUGGCCCCUGGCAGCCGCUGU
Molecule: long non-coding RNA, 1777 nt
Filed under: Marmota monax (woodchuck)
Lineage: Eukaryota; Metazoa; Chordata; Mammalia; Rodentia; Sciuridae
Source: RNAcentral